Gallus gallus (chicken) is the source of this 17618-nucleotide long non-coding RNA. NCBI's taxonomy places the organism in Eukaryota, Metazoa, Chordata, Aves, Galliformes, Phasianidae. The record is from Ensembl.
GGGUGGAGGGGGCGGAGCUGCUGCCUUUAUGGCAGGGCAGCAGGGGGUGAAGUGGAGCCAGGACAGGUGGCCCGAAUGAGGCAAUUAGGCCAGCCAUGACCCAUCACACCGAAGGGCAUAAAGCUGUGGAGGAGUUGGCCGAGAGGUAACAAUGUGGAUCGUCUGCUGGUGAGCGGAGGGAGGUUUUGUCUUGCUGGUGGAGUGUCUAAUGGCUGCUGUGCAUUAGUCAGCAAGUGGUAACAGUGCCUGAGGAGAUACAUUAAGGGAAACAGAAGGCUCCUCUUCCUCAUCUCUAACGUGUUUGGCUGCAGACACCACAAGCUGAAAUUCUGAGUGACAAGCAUCAUUUCUAAGACCACAAUUUCACUUGGAAAAGUGGAGCAGAGUUGGAGGAGGAGAUGGAGGAAGAGAGAUUAAACAACUCAGAAAACAGAUGGAGAAAUGGAAUAGAAUCACUACUGUACCCUGAGAAGAGACUUGGAUGACAGCCAAAAGCCUUAUCUGGAUGAGGUCCUUAUUAAAUAUUCAAGAUCAAUAAAAUUAACAAACAAGAAACAACGCUGGCUUAUUGUCUGCUCUGAAUGACAGUGAAAAACAAUCUGAAAUUCACAAAAUAUUGUUGACCUUUCAGCAGUAAAUCCAAUAAAAGAGAAAGUGGGUCAAACUGAAGCCAUUUAAGGCGCAUCUUGAAGUUAAUCAGGAAACUUGACCUCCAUCUGUUCCUGAACGAACAAAAGUCUUGCAGAACCGAGUAGAAAAUUUAGAUUACACUGUAGGCACAGUUACCACAUAAAACCCUGCUGAAGACUGUUCCACACUUGUAACAGCUCAAAAGAAAAAAAAAAUGGUUGCAAAAUGAAAGGGAUAGCAAAGUCAAUGCUUCUUAUCCACAGCAAAUCAAAUUUAGGAAUGAAAUGCAGCAGAAAAUAUCCCAGUGAUCCACGAGAAUUAAAAGUCCUGCACACUGAUUCACACAAAAAAAUGUGAUGAAGGAUGCUACUCAAAGUUUGGUGCUCAAGCAAGAAGGUGACAGUCACUGUACCUGUGGGCAAGAGAACACAUCAACGGAGCCUUCCCAAAGGUCAGCCAAAGAGAUGGAUUUUGACACAGAUUUCCAAUACUCUGCAGGAAAAUGAAUAACGGACACACGUGAGAAUACUGCAAUAUCCUUCCUGCAUUUUCCAAGUUGUACUACAAAUGAGAUAAUAGACAGAAUGUUUUAGUGUUUUUAAAUGGAAAAAGAUAAUCCAUUAUAGUGCAAACAAUUCUGGUAAGUAAUAAAAAUAUUUUUCACAGAAAUGUAAGUGAUAUUAAAGGUAUGCCACUGAAAAACAAAGAUGACAAAUUAAAACUGCAGUGUUCACACAGAGUUUUCUGUGAGCAGCUGCUUGUUUGCAUAUAGAACUGAAGAAUACAUUUGUAGGUGCAAUCCAUUAUCUUUUUAUACUUCAAGUUUUCUAAUUUUCGUGAUUAACACCAGCUAAGACUUUCCCAAAGAAGACUGGAUUUAUGGAUUAAGGUUAUAGUAGUUACAGUACAGGGCAGAAGCAAAAUCACGACUGAUAAUUUUUACAAAAUCAAUUUCUCAUGUUUCAAGUCAUUUCUCAUGUUUCUGAGAGAUUUUCAUUUAUAAACAGACACAACUAUGCUUAGAUAUAGCAUGAACUCUAUCGUGCAUGGAACACAAUCUAAAAGAAAAUCAGCUAGUGGUUUUUUAUUGUCUUUUGCUCACCACCUUCCUUGAAAAAGAAAAGUUCAGUGGCUGUCCUUACAGAACAAGACUGAUGAAUUAGAAAGUCAUCAACCUAUCUGUCCAUGUAAGGACACAAAAAAAAUGCAAAAUCUUGUUGCUUUAUGCGCAAUGCUGUUACAGUAGUUUGGCAAAACACCCCAAAGACCUCAGUCACAACAGCUGAUGCUCCUUUAAGCCAUCAAUAACCUGCCAUACGUACACUAACAAAUAACAAUAUUAGAAAUAAGAAUAUGCAUUAAGUCAGGAUUUUUACUGCCUUGUUGCAGGUGCAAAGACAGAAGUCUAGAGCUGUGAGACCAGCUGCCAGAUCUGGUGGCUGAGCUGAGAACAGACUCCAGGUGGGUGCUUUGCCACCGGAGUUGCAGGAAUCCAGCUGCAACAGCUCUGCUCUCACAGCAGAGGAAUGGGUGAGAUUUAGAAAGGCCCGUAGGUCCCUCUUUCUUCUGAUUAAUUCCAUUUAAAUACCAACAGAGGUUGGCUGUCUUUUGAAAGGUAACCACGAGAAAAAACCAGAGAGGAGUCUAUGUCAAAACUGUUUUGAAAUAUUCUUGACCUCUGAAAGUGAGACACAAAUUCAAACAGUGGUUGAAGCCACAUCUGCUUAGCAAAAAUUCAUGAAAGGAACAAGCCUUCUGUCUGAAGAAACUAUUUUUGGUUUCUGGUGACAGCUUUGACAGACUUUCUCAAAUAAGCUUGUAUCAAUUUAAAGCACACUUGGUCUCAUUCCAAGGAAACUGUGGCAAAUGUGGUGGGCUUCCUAGGAAGAGUAUGAUUAGAAAAGGUUGCAAAUGGUAUGUGAAUUUAACAACUGCUAGCAGGGUUGUCCCUCCUUAGUGUGUAUGUCUCCACAGGAUAAAGGCCUCUUGAAAAGUAUGCAAGAUAGUUUUAAUCCCAUUAGUACAACCAAGGAUGUACUGUUAUUAGAUAACAUUUUUUAGGCAUAUGGUUAGCAAGGCUGAUUAUCCGCUUCUACACAGGCAAAACACAUUCCAACAACAUAAAAUUGUGACCAAGCAGCAUGCAGUCUGGCCAAACUACAACUACUUCUAAACUACUUCUGCUAAGAUCCCACCGACAUUAAAAUUUACAAGUAACGUCAGGAAAAAUAUUCCUAAAAAUCCUAUCACCUUCUUCCUGUCACAGCAUUUUCAGUGCUUUUCAAAUGAAAUAACAUAAUGAAGAUACUACACCAGUUGAUUUUGAGGACCCAAGAAAAAAAGUCAGAGCUAUGGUCUGUACGACUUGAUUUUCUCAGGUCAUUUUAUUAUAGAAUUAAUUUCUUAUAUCCAAAUGAAAUUUAGUUCAGAAGAAAUUCUCAUAGGGCAUGUGUACUAUACACUUGUUUGCCAUAGAUUUUCCAGGUGAAUAGGUUGAAAAGGUUGUAAAUGUGUAAAAAUAAUGUAAGUAUUAACAAGCUUUAUACAUCACAUGCGUAAAAUAGGUUAAAAUUAUUCAUAUGACAAAGCUAUUUUUUUAAAAAGUAAUAAAUGGCCCUAUACAUUAACAUUUCACUUACAAGUUAACACAGUUUUUUCUUCCCACAUCUUUUAGCUGUAGAAUAGUCCUGUUUCCUUCUCUUGGGUGGAAGGAAUUCAAAGGCAAAAGAGUCUUAUGAAAAGCUCCAUGAGUCAUUAUUUGUCAAGAAAGAAGAUGCACAGGGGAAGAGCCAGAAAGGUUGAGGACAGCAAAGAUAGUCCAAUAGCUGAGUUACAUGCUUCCCAGGACAAAUGGAUUCUGUCUCUAAUUCUGCCAAAGAAUUGCCAGGUAAAACUUGCACCCAAGUACUAAGGCUCAUGUGAGAUGUUGCUGCUGACACUGAAAUGCCUAUGUCAGGCCCAAAUCUUUCCUACGUCCCCCAUUUUGCCACCAUUUUCUGUACAAAUGGGAGCCACAGGAAGCUUGGAGCAGGUGUCACACCACCAAACAUGCAGAAUGGAAAUAAUUUGUUAGGAAAAGCUGAAGAAAGGAGUCUGUCUGAAAUUCUUUCCUUUCUGGAUAAGACAGCUCCCUGAGAUGAGAAUUCAAAGGCCAGAACCAUAUUCCAUCGCUUAGUUUAUCCAGCUCUGCAUAGAUGCCAGUUCUACAGGGUAGUGCUCCUGUUCCCUGAAAUGAUGACUAGAAUACUCACUCAAAAUUCACAUACUUUAUAGUCUUUUCUCAGCUUCAAACAUAUAUUAAUUACUUAGGAGAGAAGAACAGCCUACCUCUGGAUUGAAAAAUAAGUAGAAAUUUAUAGAAUCAUAGAAUCGCUAAGGUUGGAAAAGACCCACAGGAUCAUCCAGUCCAACCAUUCGCCCUUCACCAAUGGUUCUCGCUAAACCAUAUCCCUCAACACAAUAUAACAAAUUAUAUAUAACCAAUAUAUGCCUGGCUUGUCAGUCCCAUCAAUGACAUUUCUUCCCUGCAACUCAGUUCUAACCUUCAUUUGCUUUGCUCUUUAUCUGCCACUUUCUUGGCAUUGUCUCAGUAUCUUGCUUAGUCAACUUUAGGUUCCAGGUGUCAUCUCAGUUCAUUCCCAAAUUCCAUUCAAUAAUUCAUAGGACCAGACUUCUUGGCUAGCUACCACACAGGCAUCACUACCUGCUAAAACGUCACCAGCCUCUGCUUCCAAUGCAUCUCUUAAGCUCCUUCAGAUUAGCUGUCCCUUCUCCUUUUAAAAUAUACAUCUUCCUGCUCUACCACAUCUGGGCAAAGUGAGAGGGAUUUAAAAAAGAGACCCUCUUAGUUCUCAUGAACAAACAGUUCCUAACUAUUUUGAUACACUAUGGGUAUUUUUUGGUAAUAUUUUAAAAAUUUUAGCAGCCUGAAAUUCCCUUUUUUGUGGCUUUGAAGCAUUUUUUUAGCUUAUAUAUGUAUAUUUUGAAUUGGGGGAUGUGGGAAGAGGAGAAUGUGUUAACAUCUUCCCAGAAGUUUCUUAAUCAUUCUGAGCACAGAAGUGAGUCAAAGCCAGAAACUAAUAGGAAAUGAAUACAAUUAAUGCUGCAACUUUUCUAAAAUAAACAUAUCAAAACAAUGAAAUUCAAUGCCUUCUGACAAGCUAAGUGUGUAUUUCUUUGCUUAUGUCUUUGAAUAGCAGUUAUUGUGAAGCAACCAUACAGUCAGCCUCCAAAUGAGGCAUACGGUGAUAGAAUUCAGGGAAAUGAGUACCUGGGAAAAUCCACAUUUCUCAGUAAUUACAGAGCAUCACUACAUCUGUGGUGGCUGUCUAGUUUUCUAUCAUGAACACAGAGGAAUUACAUUAUGUGGAGAAGGAAAGUGCAAUUAUUUACGCUAGGUGUAUUCAAAAUUAACACGUAAUGUGUUGUCUUGCUAUGUAUUUUUCACAACUCAAAGUUCAUGGUGGAGACCCCUUCCUUACAUAAAAUUUAAGUGAUCUACAGAAAGGAAAAAGUCGGUAAGGACAGAGUAGUGCUACACACAGCAGUAAUUUUAAGAAACAAACAUAUGCCUCCUCUGCUAUUUCACUUGCCUCAACUGCUUCCAAGUCAGGUUGAGGGAAACAGCCUGCAAGAUAGGGCCUGCCUUGUAUUGAACAGUAUUUCUAGAGGCAUGUCUUCCUAACUCUUUCAUCCUUCAAUGACCUGAAACACACUGCAAUAAAGUUUUGCUUCUGGGUAUUCAUCUCAAAUUGAGAUUCUAGCAUUAGUUUACACAUCGCAAAUGACAUUACAGGAAAUGUAAAACAUUCUGCAGUUUAAUCUUUUAAGUGUUCUCAAAAGGAAAACAGUUCAAUGGAUAUUUGUUUAACAUCUGGCAUGUUUGAUCUUCCUGAGAAAUUGUCACGUGAAACAAUCUAUUACAGAACCUUUUUAUUUUUAAUCUUACACUGAUUACCUGCUAUUGGGCACUCCUUGAAACAGAACAUUAGAUUAGAGAUCAAACAAUGUUUUACAUGUACAGAAUUUGAUUAACGAAUUAAUGCAAUUCUGUUAUUCAACAGCAAAAAGUGGACUAUUCAUAAAUGGAAGCAGAGUAGCAAAGAAAUCUCAGUCAAAUGAGAUAAAAUAAAUUUUCAGUACGAAGAUUGGAUGAAAACCAUUUUUACCUGCUUCAGUGGCACUACACUUCUAAACAGGGAACAGUUUCCAUUUUAUGACCUAUUUACAUAACACUGUUAUCUCAUAAGCUGUAUGCUUUUUACUGCACUACUGAGUAAAAAGUUACAGAAAACUCAAUUGUGACAGCACUGAAUUAUGCUUAUAAACACUGAAAUGCAGCUACACAUCAAAAGGAAGAAAAUGAAUGGUUAAACAAUCUGAAUAGUUCAGGAAACAGAUUUUUCAUCUUUGGAUUGAUUGAGUUAAUGUAGUCAUUUAAGAGAGGCAUAUGCAUAGGCACUGUGCAAACUGUUGUUAGACAGACUAUAUAACAUGAAAAUAAUUAUCAUACAUGCACACAGCAAGUAGUUCCAUGUGUUCUUGGAAGUGAUGCAUCUUCUUGUGUAGUUAGACAAACAGACAGAUUUCAGGCUAUUUGUGAGCAUUCAAAUGACCAAAUUUAUGGUUGUGACUAUUCUAAGAAAAGAUUUUCUAUUUUUACCACAAGGAAGCAUAUUCACAAGCUUUUGUGUUCUGUGGCUGAUUAUGUAAAGGUUGCUCUGAAAGUAAUGUCACCUGUUUUAUUAUGUUGAACCACAACAUCAGAGGUGGAUGUCGGUGGUAUGGCAAUAGAGGUUGAAUCUUCCCACCAAUAUUCCAUUGCAUUUUGUUGCUGCGUGACAGAUGGCAGCAGAGGGGCAGUCUGACAGAACGGCAUCUGACAUAGAAGUGCAUAUGAAGCAAAGGUGUGUCACUGAAUUCCUCUGUGUGGAAAAAACAGCACCCACUGACAUUCUUCAAUGUUUGGUGAACCUUUGUGGAGACCAAAGAGCAAAUGUGAGCACAGUGAGGUGGUGGGUAGUGCAUUUCAGCAGUGGCAACAGUGAUGUGAAAGACAAACCACAUUCUGGACAGCCAUGCACUGCAGUAACACCACAAAAUGAAAGUCUUGGUGAGCUCAUCCAUGAGAACUGGCAGAUUACAACCAGAGAACUACGUAUGAAGUUGAAUAUCAGCUUCAGUGCAUUAGAAACAACAAUGGCAACAUUGGAAUAUCACAAAGUUUGUACCAGGUUCCACAAAUGCUCACAUAGGAACAGAAAGAAGUUUGCAAGUUUGCCGGAAUCUACUGAACAAAUAUGAGGCUGAAGGUGACAGGUUCCUGUGAAAGUGAAACCAUUAACUCUGACCACUCAUCACAACUUAGUCAGCCGAUGGCUCAAACUUCCAGAGUCAGGCCAGAGAAGAAGAAAGCCUUUCUCCUGCAAUAUUAUAACACCAGGCUCCAUAUCAGUUUGAAGACCAUGGAAGACCUUGCCCAUCUUGGCUGGACUGUCCCACCACACCCAUUGCACAGUCUGGAUUUGAUGCCUUCUGAUUUCUACCUGGUAAUCAUGCUGUCAUAGCACCUGUGAAACAGUGGGUCACCUCCACUGAUGCAGAUUUUUAUGAGCAUGGCAUGCUGGCUCUUGAUCUUCGGUGGUGAAAAUACACAGUUAAUGGUGGUGACUAUGUUGAAAAACAGUAUUUUGUAGCUGAGAAUUUGCUCAGUCAAACAAUGUUAUUGUGCUCUUUGUUGUAGUUUCCAUGGAAAAAAUAGGAAGCAUUACUUUCAGAGCAACAUAGGCACAUUAAAUCAAUGCAAAAUCCAUUAAAUUUCUAGAUCAUCUUGCAAUUGCAAUAGCAAGAAUGUCAUCAAUAAAUAUUCCAAGGAAAUAAAAUAUGUAUUUUUUAAUGUAUUCACAGUCUCUUGAGGAAUUGUACUGCAUACCUGCAGCAUUGGAACUGGCACUAUAUGCAUUCCUUAGUUAUACUGGCUAUUUCACUAGAGCAUACUUGGAAAUGGCCAGCAAUUAGACUUUAGGCACAUCUCUGCACAUCAUAUGGUAUUUCCAACAACAUGGCAUUAAAAAAAAAAAAACAAAAAAAAAACCCCCCCACACAAAAAAACCACCACGUUGUAUUGUGGUCCCAGUAAGGAAUCUGUUAUAACGCUUGAACUUCAUUAUACCAAGUGGUCCAGCAGCGUCUGUCAAGUGAUGGCCAGACGCUACAGCAGACUUAUUGAUUUCGUGGACUCUCCUCAUCCGUUAUUUAAUCUCCCAGUAUACACUCCCUGGACAGUAGUUGCUGCUGCUAUUUAAAUUGAGACUCUUUUGGUCUGAAAGUAGCACUUCUACCUGACAUAAAAGAAAUCCUCCCUUCUGAAUGAAUCGGUAGGAUCUGUGUUAAGUGAAAGCUUGUCUCAUCUGACAGCUUCUUACUGAAUAUCAUGCCAGUACCUCCCAGAAAAACAUAGAAAGACUCUGGCAAAGAAGUGAGACUGAGAAGAGGGUUCUUUGUUCCUUGAACUGCUGUACAGUUGGACAGUGAAGAUAUAAAGACAUCUGUAGUCACUGAAGGCUAGCAUUUCCUCUGGCAUUACUGGUUUGACAAAUGAAGGGAAAACAAACACCCUGACCAUAGGAGCAGAAUGGCAGAAUCAUUGCAAAUCCAGAAGCAGACAACACUAAUAAACAAGUGAAAGUAAGCUUUCAGUGUUAUCCAAAGCAGCAUCCGACUGAGGAUCUGGAUCAAAACCUUCUCUGGAGAUUUAUGUAGGACAAAGAGCUUUUCUGUUCUUUCUUUGGGCACCUGAUGCUAAAUCCAGAUGGCUGACUCCUGGUAUUGGACAGAGUGACUGCCCUCUCAUUUGUUGAGAAAAUAUUUUCCCUCAGCCAAACGUAAGCCAAUUUUGGUAUUAUUGAACACAGAUCUAGGGAGCAAGCAGCCACAGUACUUUUUCAACUUAUUCAUCUAAGUGAAUAAGUUAAGAAAAUAAAGCCAGGAAAUUUUCCUCUGUCUAAUCAACAGACAGGCAAGAUAGCCAAAUGGUUUUAAAAAAGAUUAAAUCUAUGCCCAUAUUAAAUAGUUAAUCUCUUUUAAAGCUUUCCCUUUCCUUUCCUCUUCCCUCUUUCCUUUCUCCUUUCCUCUCUAUAUUUUUUUCUGCAUUAAGGAUGCUGUGUUGUCUGCACUUUUUAUAUAAUGAUGACAUGGAAUGAUUAUCCUUAUCUGUAUCACUUAAGAACAAUUCUCCUUUAAUUAAGAAGAUAAGCACUAGUGUUACAUCAUCCAUUCUACGUUAAGUGGAAUCCUGUAAAGUAAUUGUAAGAAGAUAUACUUUUUAACUUUGCUCAAGACAAUGAAAAAAACAAAGACUGGAUGUAGUUCCCUCCCCCAAGUAAUGCUUAGUUUAUACAUGACCAACACUGCCUAAUCCUACAUCCCACAGACUAACAGUUAAAAGACUGAAAAGAUUAAAACCCCCAGCUAUGCAAAGCCAGAAAACUUAGGCAACUAAUGUGUAUUUGGAAGAAAAACUCUGCCUUGGCUUCAAGUAAGGGUGGCGGAAAUAUACCCUGCUUCACCAUCCUGCUCAUUCAGCCUGUGAGAGACAAAGCUGCUUCUGCAGCACAGUGGGGUGGGUUUGAUGUGUUGCAGCAGGCCCAUGCAGCUGGCAGGGUGAGGUGUGUCACUGGGACACGGCCAGCUCAGAGAGCUGUAUGGUCUAAGGCUCCCCAGAUCAGAGCACAGUGAUUUUGUGCACAGUUACCCACACCCUUCUACAGCCAGUGCAAGGGUAGGAGACAGAAUGUAGCAGAAUGAGGGGUUACUGCAGGAGAACAAGCCUAGCUACCACCUUUGGGCCUCAGCUGCUCCCUGUCAGGCAGCUGUGUGUCAGGCCCUUCCUGGCCAACAGUUGUACAGCCUGCAGCCCUUGGUGUGUCAACAUGAAUGGUGGAGAUGUCCCUGGUUAGAUCCCCACAGCAUGAAAAAGCAUGUGAAGCUUUGCAAUUAUCUUUACUUUGCCUUUGUGUUGCUGCAAACAACAAUCGUUGUGGAGAUAAAUGGAUACAAACAAGACUGACAGGAUGUGCCAGUGAGAGGGACAGGCACAAAAUUCCCUACCCAUUGCCUCUUUGCCUGCUGGUCUUCAGAAAUACUUUAAAUUGUAUGUUUCAAAUGGAGCUAAAUACUGACAUUUCAGUAUGACAUUUUGUGAGGAACAGAAGUGGCUUUUUUAAGCAGAUACUGGAUGUGAAAACUGGCAAUCCAGCUAAAACCUCAGAAUCCUAUGCCCUCAUCAGCUAAACAACUAAGUCAGGAUAUCCAGAACUUUCAGAAAAUAAUGUAUUGCCAAAAAAUCCUAAGUACUUCUGCAAUAUUGUUAUCAAUGCUAUGAUGUUAGGUUUGUACAUCAAUAACUAAAGCCACCAUUACAGGUUGUUACUGGGCCGUUGUUAUCAAAGGAAAUAUGAAGACUUGAAAAUUAAUCCCAAAUGAAUGAAUUCUUUUAUUUGAAAACAAAAUCCAAAUCAAACAUCCAAAUGUUUGAGUCCCAAAUGUUUGAGUCCCAGAUAUUUCCUAAGAUACAUUGCCUCCAAGUGUUGGAAGUUUUAAUUAAAACUUGGUUUACAGGAUGAACCCUGAUUCUCAGAACUGCUGGCUAUCACUGAGUGACUGAUAGAGUAAAGAAAGUUUGAGAAAUUACCUGGACACAGAGUUUUUAAUAUUGCUAUGAUGAAAAUGAAUUUGCCAAAUAACCAUAUUUGGGAAUAUUGUUAAAAAUGCCUAAGAAUGUUAACAAAACUAUUGGAAUAUUAGGUCAAAGCUAAAAAAAAUAAAAGAACAUCCACUGGAAUUAGUACAAAGAACCACACCAGGUGACUAACUGAGCACUUCUGUAUCAGUUACAGCCAUGUCACAUUCUUCAAAGUUUUUCUUUAAAAUAUAAGGGCUUAAAACUAGAUGCUUUGGGGGAUGUUUUUUUUUUUUUUUUUCUUUUUCACAGAAGGAAUAAUUUCUAAAAUAUACACCUAAUGUCAGAUAAUGUUAACAUAAGUCACCUAUGAAAAAAUUAUAAACAACCUGACUACAACAACUCAAUAGUAAUUUCUUAAAGCGGCUGGCAGUCUUCACUGAUUCCUUCCAUUCUCUUCCUCACCAGCUCUGCUGUAGGCUGUCUCUGCAAGCACUGCAGGACUCCUUUGAGGACUAUCAAUGUGUUGGGCUUGUUGCAGUCUCAGCAGACUGCUGCCAAAACCCAUACUGCCAUUGGCGUGGCUCCCAAAGGGUUUGCACGCUUCAAAUAAUAAAGAUCUUUACAUGCAGUUUACAUUAGGAGGUAUCUGAGCAUUUGAUUAAAAAUUAAGACAUUCUUGAGUCUCUAAAGUCACUCCUAUUAGCACCAUCAAAUAGUUUCAGCCCUUUGCACUGCUACUGGGAGCUGCUCCUCUAUCUGGACCCCACAGCCUCCAGUCUACCUCUGCUUUGCCCAGUCUUUUCUUGUCAGACAGCUCAACUGGAGGAGUCUGCAUGGCUCUCCUACUUUGGCUACCACCAGAACACAGCACAGGGUUUUUUUUCUUUCCCCUUCAGUUCUGUGGAGGUAGGGAAGUCCUCUGCUUGGUGGGUAUUGAACCAGUAAGACUGAACAGUUAUGCUGCCAGCAUAUAAAAUUAUACUGUAGACUGCAUCAAUUUUGCUCACAUUUGAAAAGACAAAAGUAAAACAUCUGCUUUUACAGGACAAGACAUCAUUUUCGCUUCUUCCCUUCAAAAGAUUACAAAUGUACAAACAAAAAAAAUGGCAAAGUGAAAAAAAAAUCAGAAGAAUUGAAAUCAAAUAUAUUGGAACUAUUUGUUUAACACACACACACAAGAAGCUGAAAUUUGUUCUUCUUUUCUCCUUCUUUGAAAGGCAGCAAAAUAUUAAAAACAGGAUUCCCUACUCUAUUGAAGUUCAGUGUUUCCUACAGACCUAAGAGCUUACAACACCAUGAAGCGAGCAGUCUAUCAGAAGGGCUGUUUGCUCUUUGGUAUGUCACCAUUUGGACAGAGGACAGGAGAUUAGGUGUAACUGUGGCUCGAUCUGCUUUGCUUGCCAAGUAAUUUUAAGUACCAGCAAUAUCAAACCCAUGUAAUGUCUGGUAAGAUACUGAUCUUUCUAUUUUUCCAUCUUCCUCAAAACACCUGUUUUGUGGCUAUGCAUUAUCAAAUACUCUCUAAGCAUCACAGAACAUGGAUGCAAGUAAUCACAAUGGGGAAGAAAAAUGCCAACAAUAUACCAUCCAUUGUGGAAACUGCACGCUCUUCUGGGCCUUUAAGACGAAAAGCUGCAGCUGUCACCCCAGUUGUUGGCCCACUAAUUUCAUACCAAUGCUUGGAAAGUGAGUCACAAUUCACUUCCUCUUGUCCUGAGUGGAGACAUGUUGCUCCCUGCCUACUGACUCUGCACACGUGGAAUUAUACAGAAUUUUCAGCCAAGAAUCCUAAGAUAACACUUGAAAAAUAAUAUGUAUUUCAGCGCCAUGGUUCUCUGGCACAGUGACUGCUUUCUUGUCCUAUACUUGAAGGAAUAGUUAAUCAGGCCACCCUAUCUUACUGGAAAAUUUUCAAUCUUUUCCCUUACCCAAUUCUGUACUUCAGAAGAAAAAGAGAAACCACAUCAAGAGAUUUCAUUUUUCCUUUCAUAAACAAAAUCAGACUGCCAAUAGCUCAGAAGUCUUGAAGAGAGAGGCAUAGUGGCCCAGUGCAGCUUUUUGGUGGAUUUUUUUUUUUUUUUUUUUUUUUUUUGCUGUUGGUUUUUUGUUUUUGUUUUGUUCUGUGAUGCUGAACUCCGAAGUAACACAAUCUGCUUCAAGUUUAUGCAUAAAGACCAGUUUUCUUUCUGACCAAUACUUCAGGGUACCAGGCUCACUGAAAUAAUAUUUAAACAGUUGUCUAAGUCAAAUGCUGAUUUAGUGUUCCAGCUAAGUUUGCCAUUGACCAAGCAGAUAAAUUUAUUCUGGAUAACCACCAGAAAGCACCUAAAUAUGGCCAUUUUGCCCAUACUAGAGAACUUCCCCGUGCUCUUAGGCCGGGACUUGCACUUUGACUGUAUCCCAACCACAUAAAGGAGGAGAUAUCUGUACCUUAGUGCCCAUGAAUGGCACUAAUGGUGCAUGAAUAUGCACCAUGAUACGCUCAUACUGUGAACAAAUUGAGAGACAUUAAAGAUACACACGUACAAAACUGUAGGUAGGCACAAAUGUAUUCCUUUUAUCAGAGCUAUUUCAAGUUAUAACCCCAAAUAAAUUGAUAUCAGAGAUAACUUUAACCAUUAACAUUUUAACAGUAUUCAUACAAAAAUUUUUAAAUGUAAAAUGGAACCUUAAUUCUUUUCUCUACAUGUGGUCUGCAAUUUUUUUUCUGUUCCACAUUAUACAGGCCUGAUUAAAAUCUUUAGUUGAAAAAAAAGUCCUAUAGUAUUUUUUGGUUUGUUACUUGGCUUUCAGAGGGGAAAAAAGAUAAUAUUAACUGUUUUUUUCUUCCUAAAAGAAAUAUAUGUUUUACUUUUAAAGAUGAUAAAAUAGAUUAAGAAGCAAUAUUGUGGAAAGAAUUUUCUAUAAGAUUUUCUUUAUUAACUUAGCAAUUUCAGUAAUUAUUUUUUAGGGAUUUGGGCAACAAAUCAGUAGAGUAGGACAAAAAUAUUAUUUUUAGAGCUCACCUUUGUUACUCCAUGAUUUUGUUUUGAGUUCUUGAAAUUGGAAAAUAUUCCUGUUCUCUUCCUGAGUUUUUAGACCUACUGUAACAUUUCUAAGUAGGUUUGACCUGUUAGAAGACAGCAAAAAAGAAGAGGAAUAGGGUUCCAUUAACUUAGGAAGGUCCCUAUCUGCAAGAUCUUCUGCUAAGCAUCUAAAGAAAGUCAGUAAACAGUAAAUAAAACAGUUCAAGCUGAAAAAAUCUUGGCAGAAAAAAAAAAAAAAAGGAAGAAAGAAAGAAAGAAAAACUCCAAAAAGUGAUAUGAAAAAAAAUCAGCAAGGUUAAAAAAAAUAGUAGAUUUCUUUCUGAAAAAGUUCUGCAAUGGUCAGUCUGAAAUGUUUUUGUAUUCAACUAAAGGAAAGUCAAACUCUUUAUGUUAAGUUUGAACUGUUUUAUAUGGCAUGAGAAAGUUCCCAAGCCAGCGCCAGAUUUCGGUGUUUCCAUUUUUCAAAUUCAAUCAUUUGUGGAAAAAGGAAGAGUGAAAAAGACAUAAUUCUCCAGUUGUUUAUAUGGAAAUGGUGAGCUCUGUUCUUAGUAACAUAAAUUGAUUAAUCAGUGUUCAGUGGCUGUGUAAAAUUACAAUUUUUUUUUGUCUGAGCCUCUUGUUAGAUAUAGGCACUGAGGAAAGCUGGGUAAUAGAUCAAUUAGUGUUUACAAAACACUUCAGUAAUGCAAAAUCAUUGAAGUGCACUGUUUGAAUACGAUGACUGAAAUUUCAAUAAAGAACCCUGAUAUUUGAAACAUUCUAGUGUGUGAGAAAUAGGAUGGGUAUACAGCAGACCCAGGUACUAGAAUGUGUGGCUGUUAAAGAUCAUUUUAUUGACAUAAUCUGCAGAAAACCUCCAGCUCUAAGGUAAACAUAUUCUGUAUUCGUAGCCAGCAUUCCUGAAAUACAUCACAGUUCAGAAGUGAGAACCUCUCUCAUAUCUUCUGUGUCUGCAGAAGUGGCAAAUAUUGCACACCAACAGAACAUACUUUUUUAACUAAGGAACAAAUAUCUCCAGAAAACAGAAAAGGCAAUGUUAUCAACCUGUUGAGCAAUGCUAAGCAAUACAUUUUGAGCAAAAUCACAACACAGACUUGGAAGAUAAUUCUGCAAAACCUUUAGGCUCUUCUUUUCAUAAUUAAGUAGUGGUUUGAAGAAAAUUUGCUGCUAUCUUCCACUAAGCUGUCAAACUGGAAGAAGUUAAGUACCAGUAGGGUUUCUCAUUUUAGUUGCUACCAUAAGCCAGAUAAUAUAUCUCCUCAAAAUGAAAAUAAAUAAUGAAAUAAUGAAAUAAUGAAAUAAAAAAGAGGGAAGGGAGAAUAGAAAGCUUUGCUUUUGUUACGACACAGCAAGAACCUAACUGAUAUCCAGGGAGAGCUGUGGUCACAGUGCUCUAAGAUGGCAAUGCCAUAUUCUACACAAUACACAGCUUUUGAGACGACUCUUAAAGAGUUGAAAUCAGCUCUGAUCAUAUUUAGAAAGCAGUUAAUAACAUGUACUUUAGAUAGCCAGCCAAUGAUGAAUCUAGGCAUAAAGGCAUUUUUGGAGCUCAGACAUCCUGUCAGUUUGAAAAUGUUCCAUUCCAUUCUAGAAAAAGGUUUACAUAUGUAGUAUUUAGUGUUCGUAAUUAUGAUGUCUAAAUUUAUGGUAUUAUUAUAAACCACAUUUAGAAUGUAUUCUUUCACAUGCACUACUGAGAUUAGGUUGAACAAUUAUGGUAUUCACAGAAUUGUGGUUUUGCCCGUGUUUAUCGGCUUAAAUUCAACACCACAAACAUUUACUUCUUCAGAUGAAGUGCUCAUCUGUAAGAAAGGCUGAGCUUUUCUCUCUUUGAAGUUUCAGUGGCAUUAUUCCUUUCACACAAUGUAACUUAUUUCUAAUCUCUACUGGUGCAAGUGAAAGAAAACUCAAACCUUCUGUUUCAGACCAGACAUUUAACAAAAUAUCCUACUGCUGCCUCAAAUCUCUAUCUAUCUGGAAAUUAAUGAUCUCAUUGCAAUUUGUACAGGAAUGCUAGAGUAACCCUGAUGUUCUGAUCUGGUUUUAAUUACUUUUUUUCCAAACAUCAUUGAAAUGAAUAUAUCACAGGCAGUUUUGCUUAAUUGAGGUUGAAGAUGGUUUUCAUUUCUUACAAUCAGAACUGUAUCAAAAAUCAGAUUCCUGUUGCUGUUGUUUGCAUUCCUCUAAAAAUUACAUUCAAAUUAAACACAUGUUCUGAAAAGCCUAAUAGGUUUCUCUUUCACACAGCACCUUCAUAGAAAGUCAUGUACGGGAAGCACUGAUUUUCAGAAACACUUUGUAAAUGCUGGCAGUCAGCAUGUGUGCCAUCCAAUAUGCUUCAUUUUACAAGUAUAAAGCAAACUCCAAAGUCUCAUCUCGCCAACAAAGAACAAAGUGUUAGUUUGAUAGUGAGCUCCUAACAUAUGUAUCCAAACUAUAAAGGCCCAACUGAAUAUCUGUAUUGGUGGGUGCAUAAUUUUCAUAAGGUCCUUCUGGGCUUACACUGUGACCACAGUGAAAAUAAGCUUCUGGAAUAAAAUGGUUCAUCCUUUCAAAAUACUUUUUGAAAAGCAAAAUCACGAUGUAAUUUUAUUUUUAGGGACCCCCCUGCAUAAGAAUUAAGGGUAGACCAGAAAUAAGAAAACAAUGAAUGUAAAACAAACAAACAAACAACACUUUCACAGCUCUUAGAGCUCUUCUGUGGUAUUUGCUCAGCUUUUCAGGAAUUCGUUUAUACACACCUGCAGCAAUACAAGCUUACACAGAGCACAAUUACUUGGACAGAUAAUUUGUGAGCAAAGAUUACUGUUUAUUGACCCCAUAACCACAUGUAAUCAUUUCGUUCUAUUGUCCACCUAAAAUGAAUUCCUUCCUGCUCAAACUGUGAGCUGCAGACUUGGAAGUUCUCCAAACAAAAAUUUCUGAGAGCUGGGAUGUAGAAGGAAAGCAAUUUUAAUGAGAUAAUUUUCUCUUUCAAGUUAAGUAAAAGAAAGCCCAAAUUCAAGUCACUGUCAGCAGCAGCUUAGAGGUAUAUACAGAGAUAUACUAACACUGAAAAUAGAAAGACAUUCUUCACAACUAAAUACUAUUUUCCUUUUAUGCACAUAUUUUCACAGACUUAUCUUUUAUUUACCCAACUUUUCCUAGAAGGAUUCCAGUACAAUCUAGAAAACAUUCUCCCCACUUAUACUACCAUGACAGGCCUUCUACAGAUGAGCCAAAUGAGAGAUGAUAUCUCUGAAGGCACAUGAGCAGCUCAUUGCUAUGGAAUGGAAUGGAAGCCAACUAAUGUGACACCUCACCUCUAACAUAACAUCAAGAAGUUGAAGAGCAGCCAAUGAGCAGGCACAUUCAUCUACAUGAAUAUAUUUUCAUAAAUUUGUUCUUCCUUGUUUUGACAAGAUUUUAAAAAUAUAUGCAUUAAAAAUAAUCACAAAAAUUAUGUCAGAAUUUCUGUACUCUACUUUCAAUAUAGUGUCAUUCACGGGUAUUAUACAGCAAAUUUCAUAAUGACUAGGAAUAUUUACUCCUAGGAAUGCCUGAGCAUAGUUGUAUAGCAAUAAGUGUCUGAGAAGAAUUGUAUAAAACGUUUGCAAGGAUAUGAAUUCUGAAAAGCUCUAUAAAUACAUUCAUUUGCUCUACUUUUCAAAUAAAAUACUUUUCUCUCCUUCCUACUCUCAUGUAUAGCAGUAUAAAAAAUUUCCCACUUCCAUGAGAAAAAUUUUUCUUGUAGUUUCCUCUGUUCUCAUCAAAAAGCCUAGCAAAAGUAUAAAAAAAUUAAUAAAAGGAAAGAAAGAGUACCUCAGUUAUCCCAAAAGCAAGUCUGAAACUCCUACUCCGAGUUUUUGUGCUGUCAAAUUACAGCACUAAAUGCUGCCAUGUUGGGAAUCUUUAAAAGCAAAAGGCUGAAGUUUUAGUUUGUGAGAAGAAGACAGGGAGGGAAAAGACAGGGAGAACAAAGAGAGGAAAGAAUUCUAGUGUACAGUAAUCCAGAAAAACAAUUGAAUUUGCUGCAGAAUGUGCAUGAAUCAGAUUAAGGUAUUCUUGUUCUAUAGCUCCCUUUUCUAUGGUCUGAUUUAAUACUUUCUUUAAAAAUCAACCUUAAUUAAAAACUCCGACCAGAAUAAAAAAGAAUUCUAACUGAGAUUCAGUGUUUCAGAACUGUCUGUGGUUUGUUGGUCUCCCAUAUAUGAAAAAAAUAACCAGGAAAUAAUGAGAACGUGUGUAUUUUAUAUCGUAACAGGAAAAAAAAAUAGUGAAUGUCUACAGACAUCAUUAAC